UUUUUUUAAAUUUAUAAACAUCCGCGAAAUUGCAUUUGCCAAAUCCACCAGACUCCAUGUAAAUAAUCAGUAAUUUUAGCAUCGUAAAAUAC
Molecule: long non-coding RNA, 92 nt
Organism: Etheostoma spectabile (orangethroat darter)
Lineage: Eukaryota; Metazoa; Chordata; Actinopteri; Perciformes; Percidae
Exons: 3
Source: RefSeq, a predicted model, not a curated record